AGUAGUUUGACUCCUGGCUCGAGGACGAACGCUGGCGGCGUGCCUAACACAUGCAAGUCGAACGGGGAUUUUGUUUCGGCAGAAUCCUAGUGGCGAACGGGUGAGUAACGCGUAUCCAACCUUCCCCUUACUAGAGGAUAGCCCGGCGAAAGUCGGAUUAAUACUCUAUGUUCUCCUUUGAUGGCAUCAGAUGAGGAGCAAAGAUUCAUCGGUAAGGGAUGGGGAUGCGUCUGAUUAGCUUGCCGGCGGGGUAACGGCCCACCGGGGCAACGAUCAGUAGGGGUUCUGAGAGGAAGGUCCCCCACAUUGGUACUGAGACACGGACCAAACUCC
RNAcentral lists this ribosomal RNA (333 nucleotides) under uncultured Prevotella sp. RNAcentral's name for it is "bacterial SSU rRNA". It matches the Rfam family "Bacterial small subunit ribosomal RNA", at positions 1 to 339 of the family's 1533-position model. The record is from RNAcentral. Lineage: Bacteria; Pseudomonadati; Bacteroidota; Bacteroidia; Bacteroidales; Prevotellaceae.